RNAcentral lists this ribosomal RNA (118 nucleotides) under Pogona vitticeps (central bearded dragon). The record is from RNAcentral. Lineage: Eukaryota; Metazoa; Chordata; Lepidosauria; Squamata; Agamidae.
GUAAGACCAGCUACCACCAUGAACAAAUCAGUCACAUUUGAUUUUGGAAGCUAAACAGGGUCAGGCUUCGUUAGGUCUUGAAUGGGAGACCACUUGGCCCUAGGGAAGAAUUCUUCCU